CUAACAAAUAAAUCAAAUAUGGUAACAAUCGAUUUGUAAAACACAACUUUCGACAUUAACCUCUUAGGCAUUAUGCGCCAUCUUAUAUUACGACGCGCUACUAUAAUAGCUCACUCUACUGACUUACACGCUCACCGUUUGAACUAAAUGAUCAUUUUCAUUUGUCUUGCUUCGCACUUCUUUUGCCCUCACAACGUUCUAUAACAGUGUUAACAGUGUUACAGACAGAAUAUAUAAUAUUCGUUUUUAAUACGUCAGUGUCAGAAUCUUCAACCUCAAAAUGUCUCUUCAAAAUAGGAUACGAAGAGCAAUUUGAAAAACUAUCGCUAACUCAGGAGUGUAAAAAUUGUGACGUGGGUCUAUGUGUUCAUGGCGAGUAAGGAACUAUGCUACGACCGUGAGUUGGACUUCUACUCAAGCUUCUAAUACUAAUAUCACUACUUCGACGAUUUAAAUCCAGUGGCUUGACUUGAACAAGUUCCGAAUUACGUCGAAAGGAAAUAUCUGAAUUUCUACGUAUCUCAGUUCGGGAAGUAAAACCGCUAACAUCAGAAUUACGUCUUGAACCUAAAAUAUAAAUGAAAUAUAAUUGAAAUAAAAGUUUAUUUAUACUAGAAUUGAUAA
Molecule: long non-coding RNA, 624 nt
Organism: Bombus pyrosoma
Lineage: Eukaryota; Metazoa; Arthropoda; Insecta; Hymenoptera; Apidae
Exons: 3
Source: RefSeq, a predicted model, not a curated record